AGUGAACGCUGGCGGUAGGCCUAACACAUGCAAGUCGAACGGCAGCACAGUGAGAGCUUGCUCUUACGGGUGGCGAGUGGCGGACGGGUGAGGAAUACAUCGGAAUCUACUUUUUCGUGGGGGAUAACGUAGGGAAACUUACGCUAAUACCGCAUACGACCUAGGGGUGAAAGCAGGGGAUCUUCGGACCUUGCGCGAUUGAAUGAGCCGAUGUCGGAUUAGCUAGUUGGCGGGGUAAAGGCCCACCAAGGCGACGAUCCGUAGCUGGUCUGAGAGGAUGAUCAGCCACACUGGAACUGAGACACGGUCCAGACUCCUACGGGAGGCAGCAGUGGGGAAUAUUGGACAAUGGGCGCAAGCCUGAUCCAGCCAUACCGCGUGGGUGAAGAAGGCCUUCGGGUUGUAAAGCCCUUUUGUUGGGAAAGAAAAGCAGCAGGUUAAUACCCCGCUGCUCUGACGGUACCCAAAGAAUAAGCACCGGCUAACUUCGUG
This 492-nucleotide ribosomal RNA is filed under the name uncultured bacterium. Its description in RNAcentral is "partial 16S ribosomal RNA". It matches the Rfam family "Bacterial small subunit ribosomal RNA", at positions 29 to 507 of the family's 1533-position model. The record is from RNAcentral.